CUAAAUGCAGUCGCCAGAUGUAAAAAGCUAAAGUGUAAACGAACUACACCAGCACUAAGCUUCCGACAAUGUUUACCUUUUCAGCGUGAUGACGCGCAAACAGCUGCAAACAUAUCAUGAGUGAGCGUUUUGGCCGACUAGUGAUGUCACUCCUGCCCCACUCUCUGGAUAACGUCGAGAUGUGGUUUCCAACAUUCUUCAAAAUAUCUUCUUUUGUGUUCAGCUGAAGAAAGAAACCCAUACAGGUUUGGAACAGCAUGAGGCGCUGGUCCGCAGGCUGUCAUCUUCUGCUGUAUCUGUGCUUUUGUGCUGAUGGUACACUGCAUCUGGUCAAGCAGUAACAACGGCUUCUAACUUUAGAAGAAUCGUGAACCGCCCUCAUGACCUUCCAGACCUUUGAAUAAU
Molecule: long non-coding RNA, 405 nt
Organism: Pimephales promelas (fathead minnow)
Lineage: Eukaryota; Metazoa; Chordata; Actinopteri; Cypriniformes; Leuciscidae
Source: RefSeq, a predicted model, not a curated record